AAAAAAGCCAACGGGUUAGAGUGAGUUAUGAAAGUACCAAACAUUGUGACAGACACUUUACUACCUGAAUGUUAGAGAAAGAACAGAAAUGUCCUCUUUUUUUCUUCUUCCUUUACAAAUAAUGUUAACUGUUUAUCUGACAUUGUUUUGUACUUUUAUUUUGCAUUUUAUGUCAAUGUGACUUUAAAAAAAAGUAGGCAAACAUAUGUCAUUUCUUUGUUACAGAGAGUAGACAGUACCAAACUAUGGAUCAAUGAGUUCUUGCUGUUGACAUGAUUAUCUCCCAAACCCCUUGGCGAUAUGUGAUUUAAUAGCACCACACAAAUCAAGCAAUCAAAAAAAAAAAAAGAAGAUUAAAGCUGAAACACUGUAGGUUGAAAAUACUCUUGCCUCUUCAGUUUGUUCAGCUAUUAAGGUUCCAACUCAGAUACAUUGUGAAAGACAAGUUGAUGUGGUCACCACAAUUGGGAUUAAUUUUACUACACUUCCAAUCCAUUUAGGAAAUAAUCUGGACAUACCAUUUGAAUUGGAGGAAAAGGCUCAUUGGGGUAUAACUCUUGGAUUGACUGAAAGUUUGACACAUAAAUGGAUUUGACUCCAAUACUGGUGAUAAUAUAGAACCCAAACCGUGCUACCCUGGGAUUUCUAGAAACAACCAUUUGUAUCAUUGAGAUAUGGAUGCAUCAUGACUGUUCACAGGUUUAGUUGGCUUGGUCUCAGGUUUUGCAGUUCUCCCAAUGGAAGUUCUACUGUAUAUGGCUUACUGCCUUGCUCAGAAAUAAGUUAGUGGUUAUCUGCUCAUCCUUUUACAGUACAACACUAUGCAUGUGUACAAAGGGAUUUCCAACCACCAUCUCAUUUACAGUAUGCAUAUAGAAUAACAAAUGACUUUCAAUUCCGAUAUAUUCUAAACAAAAAAGCUUAUUACUCAUCUUUUACAGCAUUCAUUUAUCUCUGUGCAAGGAUAUGGAUGUACAGUAAACCAAAAGUAUUGGGACAGUGACACAUUUGUUGUUUUGGCUCAGUAUUUCAGCACUCUGGAUUUGAAAUGAUGCAAUGACUAUGCGAGGAUAUGGGACCAAAUACUGAACUUUAGACUAUUUUAUUACACAAGUGAAUUUGUCCGAGUACUUUUGGUCCUCUAAAAUGGGGGGGGGGGACUACGUACAAAAAGUGCUGUACUUUCUAAACGGUUCACCCGAUAAGGAUGAAAAUACCCUCAAAUUAAAGCUGUCAGUCUGCUCUUUAACCUCCAGUCAUUGUAUCAUAUCAAAUUCAAAGUGCUGGAGUACAGAGCCAAAACAACCAACAACGUGUCACUGUCCUAAUACUUUGAGCUCACUACGUAGCUUACCAUCGAUUUCUGUCCUACUUCACCAAUUACUUGGUUACAGUUGUAAUGGAGCCACAGCAUUCACUUUUUUUUUUAACAAACAUUAACCCCGUAUAUUGAGACUAAGCCAUAUCCCCAAAGCCACAUCCAAGCUCAGCAUUUCCUAUUAAUAGCACCUGGUUUGUUUUUAUCCCAAAAUACAUUUUUAAUCCAAUGCUUUGUACAAUAUUUGUCAGCAACUAUCCACAGUACAUGAAUAUCCUUCAGCGUGAAUAAAAACAACUAGUUCCUACUACAAACUGUAUAUCUUGAAGCAGAUAUUUGCCAUAACUGUGUUUGCAAAACUAUCAAGAGAUUCCAAUAAAACCG
Long non-coding RNA from Oncorhynchus tshawytscha (Chinook salmon), 1702 nucleotides. The record is from Ensembl. NCBI's taxonomy places the organism in Eukaryota, Metazoa, Chordata, Actinopteri, Salmoniformes, Salmonidae.